RNAcentral lists this ribosomal RNA (580 nucleotides) under uncultured bacterium. RNAcentral describes it as "bacterial SSU rRNA". It matches the Rfam family "Bacterial small subunit ribosomal RNA", at positions 79 to 655 of the family's 1533-position model. The record is from RNAcentral.
CUUGCUUCUCUUGAGAGCGGCGGACGGGUGAGUAAUGCCUAGGAAUCUGCCUGGUAGUGGGGGAUAACGUUCGGAAACGGACGCUAAUACCGCAUACGUCCUACGGGAGAAAGCAGGGGACCUUCGGGCCUUGCGCUAUCAGAUGAGCCUAGGUCGGAUUAGCUAGUUGGUGGGGUAAUGGCUCACCAAGGCGACGAUCCGUAACUGGUCUGAGAGGAUGAUCAGUCACACUGGAACUGAGACACGGUCCAGACUCCUACGGGAGGCAGCAGUGGGGAAUAUUGGACAAUGGGCGAAAGCCUGAUCCAGCCAUGCCGCGUGUGUGAAGAAGGUCUUCGGAUUGUAAAGCACUUUAAGUUGGGAGGAAGGGUUGUAGAUUAAUACUCUGCAAUUUUGACGUUACCGACAGAAUAAGCACCGGCUAACUCUGUGCCAGCAGCCGCGGUAAUACAGAGGGUGCAAGCGUUAAUCGGAAUUACUGGGCGUAAAGCGCGCGUAGGUGGUUUGUUAAGUUGGAUGUGAAAUCCCCGGGCUCAACCUGGGAACUGCAUUCAAAACUGACUGACUAGAGUAUGGUAGA